AAACAGGACUGCAGUGGGCGUUUCACACCUGCGGCGAGAGGAGAGCUGCUGGCAAGCACAGCAAAUCCUAGCCCCUUCCCCCAAGGGGUCGGAGGAGCAAUUGCGUUUUGGCCUCAAAGAGAAAUCCUGUUGACUGGAACAAGGGCUGCUGCAGCCAGGGCUGGAACAAAACUUUUUAAGCCUAGAGCUGAGAAAACACCAGGUGGUAACAGGAGCUGCAAAUUGCUAAGUAACUCUGGCAAAGUUCCUCUGCACCCUCAUUUCCAGAAAAAAGCCCUGAGGCUGUUUUCUCUAUCUGUGGAGCGGCCUCCUUCCUUUAGCGAGUUCAGGUAUUCCCCCUGCCUUGAAAGCGCGCAUCUCCCCUCGCUUUCCCGCACCCCUCUUCUCCUUCCUCUCCUCAGGGUCCUGAGUUCACUUUGCACCCUUUCUGCAGGAUUUGCAGACGUAAGGAGGAGAGCAGCGAGAGCUGAUUUCGCCCCCACCUUUCUCUGCUUCUGCUAUCCAGCGUGCCGUGCACAGCCGUCAUCCAGGAGGCCACCGUUGGUCCUCAGCCUGUGCACGCAGCUGCUCCUGCGUUGCCGUAUGAACGGUCGAGGCUUCGCUGACAGAGAGCCUGGGGCUGCCUGCUUUCAGCCGCUAGAAGAUCAGAUGCCAUUUCAAGCAGGUCUGAGAAGGGACUGAAGAAGGUAAGGACUUCAGUCUCAAGUCAUAUGAAGCAAGAAAUAAGAAUAACUGGAAAUCGAGGACGAGAUGGAAUGCAGGCCGCUAAGGGGUAAGCGUAGCACAGGUAACUUACAAGUUGCUGAAAAGCACCACAAACAAAUGAGGUCUGAGUUCAGUACGUUUAACAAACGUACUCUCAAGUAAUCCUCUAGCAUUUCUCUACUGACUGAACCACAGCCGAGGCUUGCUGCGGGAAUGCAGGAUUUUGCAUGUCAAGCUUGCGAUUAGG
Molecule: long non-coding RNA, 952 nt
Filed under: Struthio camelus australis
Lineage: Eukaryota; Metazoa; Chordata; Aves; Struthioniformes; Struthionidae
Description: lncRNA (ENSSCUG00000008781.1)
Source: RNAcentral